RNAcentral lists this ribosomal RNA (259 nucleotides) under Vannella miroides. Its description in RNAcentral is "partial 18S ribosomal RNA". It matches the Rfam family "Eukaryotic small subunit ribosomal RNA", at positions 1086 to 1343 of the family's 1831-position model. Lineage: Eukaryota; Discosea; Flabellinia; Vannellidae. The record is from RNAcentral.
CCUUGUGAGAAAUCAUAAGUGUUUGGGUUCUGGGGGGAGUAUGGUCGCAAGGCUGAAACUUAAAGGAAUUGACGGAGGGGCACCACCAGGAGUGGAGCCUGCGGCUUAAUUUGACUCAACACGGGAAAACUUACCAGGUCCAGACAUUUGAAGGAUUGACAGAUUGAUAGCCCUUUCUUGAUUAAAUGGGUGGUGGUGCAUGGCCGUUCUUAGUUGGUGGAGUGAUUUGUCUGGUUAAUUCCGAUAACGAACGAGACCU